GACGAACGCUGUCGGCGUGCUUAACACAUGCAAGUCGAACGGAAAGGCCUCAGCUUGCUGGGGUACUCGAGUGGCGAACGGGUGAGUAACACGUGGGUGAUCUGCCUUGCACUCUGGGAUAAGCUUGGGAAACUGGGUCUAAUACCGGAUAUGAACUGCCUUUAGUGUGGUGGUUGGAAAGUUUUUUCGGUGCAAGAUGAGCUCGCGGCCUAUCAGCUUGUUGGUGGGGUAAUGGCCUACCAAGGCGUCGACGGGUAGCCGGCCUGAGAGGGUGUACGGCCACAUUGGGACUGAGAUACGGCCCAGACUCCUACGGGAGGCAGCAGUGGGGAAUAUUGCACAAUGGGCGGAAGCCUGAUGCAGCGACGCCGCGUGGGGGAUGACGGCCUUCGGGUUGUAAACUCCUUUCGACAGGGACGAAGCUUUUUGUGACGGUACCUGUAUAAGAAGCACCGGCUAACUACGUG
This 467-nucleotide ribosomal RNA is filed under the name uncultured bacterium. RNAcentral's name for it is "partial 16S ribosomal RNA". It matches the Rfam family "Bacterial small subunit ribosomal RNA", at positions 28 to 507 of the family's 1533-position model. The record is from RNAcentral.